Molecule: long non-coding RNA, 675 nt
Filed under: Brassica napus (rape)
Lineage: Eukaryota; Viridiplantae; Streptophyta; Magnoliopsida; Brassicales; Brassicaceae
Description: long non-coding RNA (BNAP_LNC007132)
Source: RNAcentral
AUUGGGGCAAGCAUUACCACCUUCCAUGAAGGCAUGACCAUAUUAGCAUUUGAAAAAUAUGUUAAGAUGCUUUUUAGAUUGCAACUACAUUUUUAUUAUUUCUUUAUAUGCCUCAUGUAGAAUGGUAAUGCAUCUUACUGGUCUAUUAAAAUUUAGGUUUAGUUUAUGAAAUAUUGGGGUUAACAUUGGUUAAGGUUUAAAUUUUGAUAUUUGGGUUUAGGGUUCAUAUUUGAGUUAAGAUGAUUGAUUAGAGUUUAAGGUUUAGGAUUUAGGGGUUGAGGUGUGAUUAGGAUUGGGUUAGUAUUUAGGGGUUUAGGAUUUAUAUUUGGGUAAUGGUUUAGUGAUUAGAGUUUAAGGUUUAGUAUUUAGAAGGUGAAGGAGUAUGGUUGAGGUCAAUAAUAACUUCUUCCAUGUAAUUAUAGAUAUUUUAUAAUUUCACAAAUAUGUACUAUGUUAUUUUUUUGUUCAAUUCUAUUUGGAUUUUGUGCUUAUAUUUGGGGUAAUGGUUUAUAUUUGGGUUUAUGGUUUAGAUUUGGGUUUAGGGUAUAAUGAUUAGAGUUUAGAGUUUAAUAUAUAGGUUGGGUGAGAUUGGAAUAAGUUUUAAUAUCUAAGGAUUUGAUUUGGGAUAUGUUUAUAUUUAAGGGUUGUAGAUAAAGUUAUAAUUAUAUACUAUUU